Molecule: long non-coding RNA, 1727 nt
Filed under: Zea mays
Lineage: Eukaryota; Viridiplantae; Streptophyta; Magnoliopsida; Poales; Poaceae
Description: long non-coding RNA (ZMAY_LNC000515)
Source: RNAcentral
CCUAACAUUAAUUCAUUAAGCUCUAUCCUAUCAAAGCUUCUAUAGAAAAGAAACAAAUAUUUUUUUAGAAAAGGGAAUAUUAUUAAUAUUCCAGCUUCGGUAUUGGUUGAUACAUGUGACUGUUCAAACUCACAAACAUAGGGUUCCACUCUGGAAUGAAAAUCUCACAUUCGACAAAGGUUUCACAAAUUCAAGCACUCAAUCUAUGAUAAAAAGACCAGCCAUUAUUUGAAAAGAUCUCCAUCGUUAUCGUCUCAAGCAUACGACAAUCCUAUUUUACUUGAGGUCUGUCCUCCUUUUGCAACAGUGUCUAGAACCUUGUCCAAUGUGUUCCUCUGAAUGUGACCUACAAGGGAGUGGAAACUUGUGCAUUAUCAAAAACCACAUCAUUACGGCUUAACCAUAAAGCCCAACAGAGGGCACAUGCUCUAACCCAAAUCCGGCUCUUAAGUCCAGAAUUUAAACCCUUUAGCCAAGUGCCAAACAUAUGUUGGAUGCACGAAGAUGGAGUAAUGUUAAAUGAAAUUUGUACACAUCUCCAAACACAUCUAGCCAUAUGACAAUCAAAGAAAAGGUGUUGAACGGAUUCAUCUAAGUUGCAUCCACAACAUUUAACACUUCCUUUCCAUAAUUUUUUUUGCUAAAUUAUCCUUUGUUAGAACUAUGCCUUUAACUAAGUACCACAUAAAAAAAUUAAUCUUCAAAGGCAGCUUUAAACCCUAGAUGGGAUGGUUUCUCGAAAUGAUACAUUAAAAGAAUCCAUGAAACAUUAAGAUUAUUAUUUAAAGAUAAUAAAUUAUGUUAUCUAGGGUUAUAUUAGUUGCAUUUUGUUCCAUCAAACCAAAUAUGCGGGUGAUUUCGUUGUACUAUGAACAACUCAAAGAAUGAUCGUUGUAAUCUUAUCCGAGUAUCAAGUUAGAACAAACAAUCAUGUACCGUUUUACCCCCAACAACCAAUCUGGUAUGGAUAGAUCAUGCAUCCUAUAGAUCCAUCAUUUAACAGGGCAUUCUUCACAACCGAAUCCAACAUGAUCCGACAACAUUAAAAAGGCAAGACUAGGGCUCACCGAUGGCGGGGAUGGUUGUGAUGAUCUCACCAAGCUUGAGCUUAUAGAGGAUGGUGGUUUUACCAGUGGUGUCGAGGCCGACCAUAAGGAUCUGCAUAUCCUUAUUGGCGAAGAGCGGCUGAAGAGCUUCCCAAACGCGAGCCCCAUUCCUUUUUGUCUGCUUUCUUUACCACCUGUAGAAUCGCCAACUGAUCAUUCAUUCAACGAUCAAAUCUCACCCAAGCCUAACAUAUGAUGAAUCACAAAUCUCCCCGGUGCGUCCAGUCGACAACGACGCGGAUUUGAACCGACCAGAUCUAGCUCGAACCGUGCAGAUCGAGCAGAUUGUGCGCUAGCGAGCAGAGAUCUAUCGCGUGCAGCCGCAGAGAGGAGAUCAGGGACAGAGAUAUUUGUCGGUGCAAGGGAGGUGUCGGCGUUUCGAACCCGGGGUCCCUGUACCGACGAGUAAAUUAUCACCGCAUGCCCCAGCCCAGAUGGGUCGGCGCGAGACGGAGCACGAAGGGGGGAGGCAGCCGGAGGGAGACGGGCGUGAGAGGUGGAAUCCCGCGGCCUUCGUGUUUGUCCCGCGCCCAGGUCGGGUGCGCUUGCAGUAGGGGGUUACAAGCGUCCACGCGGGAGGGAGCGAGCGGGCUCACGCGAGCGCCGUCCCGUCCUUUCCCG